AUGGAUGCCGUUGUUGAUGUUGCCGAUGCUAUGGGCGCUGUGACUAUAGAGAACGGGGCGAAGCUGGAGUUGCCUGACAGUGUAGAGGAGCGCGGCGAAGAGCAUGAUGCGCAGGCCAACAGAGACCAUUCAGGGGAGAGUGAGGUGAUCAACCCGCACGAAGAGGCAGGUGGAGAAGCCACCUCACAGCCAGAAGGGAGGAAGAUCGGCCGUUCCAAGGGAGCUGCAAGUCAUGGUCCUAAGGUUGCAAAGACAAGGAGCCCAAAGAGUGGAGAUGAAGGUCUAGCAAGGAGAAGCACCCCUAGUUCCUCUCUUCGUAAGGCACCCAUUGCGCGAGUAUCACAUGCAGACUCAGGCACUGGCUCUUGUACCAAUGGUGAUCCGAGUGUCGAUAAGAAAGUCUCAAAUACUUUGUUUGGUAAUGGUAAUCAGAAAUCUGGAAAGAUCGAGUCUCGUCCGUCUGCCAAGGAGACAUCAUUGCUCGAGGACGCAAAAUCCAGGGAGGGAAGUAAAGCUCAAAAGCAAUCAGACCAGCAUUCUUCCAUCAGAAGAGAUGAAGAAGAUUUAAAUAGUGAAAGUUCAAAAGCUCGAAGGGCUGGCAGCACUCCUGCCUAUGGAUUCAGUUUCAAGUGUGAUGAGAGAGCUGAAAAAAGAAGAGAGUUCUACUCAAAGCUUGAGGAGAAGAUUCACGCAAGAGAGAUGGAAAUAAGCAAUAUGCAAGCUAAAUCGAAGGAGACUGAAGAAGCUGAACUCAAAAUGCUGAGAAAAAGCUUAAAGUUCAAGGCAACGCCGAUGCCAAGCUUCUCCCCACCACCAAAGGUUGAACUGAAAAAGAUUCCUCCCACUAGAGCUAAAUCACCAAAGCUUGGCCGUUCCAAGAACAAAUCUGGGCUGGAGGCUGAAGAAAGUACCACCCCAAGCCAUCCUAUCCGUGUGAGCCUUGAUGAGAAGGCUACUCAAAAUGGUGCGAAGAAAGUAACCCCAUCAAACUCAGUGAAGAAGCCCCAGAGGAAGUCACUCCCGAAAUUGCCAUCAGAGGCAAGCGGCCCACUUGAGGCCACACAGCCAAAAAGCAUGGAGGACCUAAACACAGAUAAUCAUCAGGAGUCAGGGUCGCCAGCAAAGCAGCUUCAGGAAACCGAGUCGAUCGCCAGCAACGCCCAGGAGCCGAUCCGAGCUAAAGUUACCCCCGACGACCAAGAACUCGACGAACAGGCAUCCGUGUAG
This 1227-nucleotide ribosomal RNA is filed under the name Triticum aestivum (bread wheat). RNAcentral's name for it is "partial small subunit ribosomal RNA". The record is from RNAcentral. Lineage: Eukaryota; Viridiplantae; Streptophyta; Magnoliopsida; Poales; Poaceae.